This 23-nucleotide small nuclear RNA is filed under the name Arabidopsis thaliana (thale cress). RNAcentral describes it as "snRNA_15420". Lineage: Eukaryota; Viridiplantae; Streptophyta; Magnoliopsida; Brassicales; Brassicaceae. The record is from RNAcentral.
UGUUCCAUAUCGUUUCGAACCGU